Molecule: ribosomal RNA, 264 nt
Filed under: uncultured bacterium
Lineage: Bacteria
Description: partial 16S ribosomal RNA
Rfam family: Bacterial small subunit ribosomal RNA
Source: RNAcentral
CUUUAGUGGCGGACGGGUGAGUAACGCGUGGGUAACCUGCCUUACACAGGGGGAUAACACUUAGAAAUAGGUGCUAAUACCGCAUAAGCGCACAGUCCCGCAUGGGACAGUGUGAAAAACUGAGGUGGUGUAAGAUGGACCCGCGUCUGAUUAGCUAGUUGGUGGGGUAACGGCCCACCAAGGCGACGAUCAGUAGCCGGCCUGAGAGGGUGGACGGCCACAUUGGGACUGAGACACAGCCCAAACUCCUACGGAAGGCAGCAG